RNAcentral lists this ribosomal RNA (907 nucleotides) under uncultured Bacillota bacterium. RNAcentral describes it as "bacterial SSU rRNA". It matches the Rfam family "Bacterial small subunit ribosomal RNA", at positions 1 to 905 of the family's 1533-position model. Lineage: Bacteria; Bacillati; Bacillota. The record is from RNAcentral.
GGAUCCAGACUUUGAUUCUGGCUCAGGAUGAACGCUAGCGGCAGGCUUAACACAUGCAAGUCGAGGGGCAGCGCGGGGCGGCAACGUCCUGGCGGCGACCGGCGGAAGGGUGCGUAACGCGUGAGCGACAUGCCCGUUGCCCGGGGACAACCGGUGGAAACGCCGACUAAUCCCCGAUGGGACGGAGGCCCUCAUGGGUCUCCGUUGAAAGUUACGGCGGCGACGGAUUGGCUCGCGUCCGAUUAGCUUGUUGGCGGGGUAACGGCCCACCAAGGCUACGAUCGGUAGGGGUUCUGAGAGGAAGGUCCCCCACAAUGGAACUGAGACACGGUUCAUACUCCUACGGGAGGCAGCAGUGAGGAAUAUUGGUCAAUGGGCGGAAGCCUGAACCAGCCAUGCCGCGUGCGGGAAGGAGGCCCUAUGGGCUGUGAACCGCUUUUGCCUGGGGGCAAUAAGGGCGUCGCGCACGUCCGAUGAGAGUACCAGGGGAAUAAGCAUCGGCUAACUCCGUGCCAGCAGCCGCGGUAAUACGGGGGAUGCGAGCGUUAUCCGGAUUCAUUGGGUUUAAAGGGUGCGUAGGCUGUGCGUCAAGUCAGGGGUGAAAUUCCGGGGCUCAACCCCGGGGCUGCCCUUGAUACUGUCGCGCUGGAGUGCGGAUGCCGCCGGAGGAAUGAGUGGUGUAGCGGUGAAAUGCUUAGAUACCACUCAGAACACCGAUUGCGAAGGCAUCUGGCGAAUCCGUAACUGACGCUGAGGCACGAAAGCGUGGGGAUAGAACAGGAUUGGAUACCCUGGUAUUCCACGCCGUAAACGAUGAUGGCUAACCGCCGGCGACAUACUGUCGGUGGCCAAGCGAAAGCGAUAAGCCAUCCACCUGGGGAGUACGUCGGCAACGAUGCAACUCAAA